Molecule: ribosomal RNA, 468 nt
Filed under: uncultured bacterium
Lineage: Bacteria
Description: partial 16S ribosomal RNA
Rfam family: Bacterial small subunit ribosomal RNA
Source: RNAcentral
GACGAACGCUGGCGGCGUGCUUAACACAUGCAAGUCGAACGGAAAGGCCCUGCUUUUGUGGGGUGCUCGAGUGGCGAACGGGUGAGUAACACGUGAGUAACCUGCCCUUUACUUUGGGAUAACUUCAGGAAACUGGGGCUAAUACCGGAUAGGAGCUCCUGCUGCAUGGUGGGGGUUGGAAAGUUUCGGCGGUUGGGGAUGGACUCGCGGCUUAUCAGCUUGUUGGUGGGGUAGUGGCUUACCAAGGCUUUGACGGGUAGCCGGCCUGAGAGGGUGACCGGCCACAUUGGGACUGAGAGACGGCCCAGACUCCUACGGGAGGCAGCAGUGGGGAAUAUUGCACAAUGGGCGGAAGCCUGAUGCAGCAACGCCGCGUGCGGGAUGACGGCCUUCGGGUUGUAAACCGCUUUCGCCUGUGACGAAGCGUGAGUGACGGUAAUGGGUAAAGAAGCACCGGCUAACUACGUG